Molecule: ribosomal RNA, 301 nt
Filed under: uncultured bacterium
Lineage: Bacteria
Description: partial 16S ribosomal RNA
Rfam family: Bacterial small subunit ribosomal RNA
Source: RNAcentral
CAGUAGCCGCGGGAAUACGUAGGGCGCAAGCGUUGUCCGGAAUUAUUGGGCGUAAAGAGCUCGUAGGCGGUCUGUCGCGUCUGGUGUGAAAUCCCGAGGCUCAACCUCGGGCUUGCAUCGGGUACGGGCAGACUAGAGUGCGGUAGGGGAGACUGGAAUUCCUGGUGUAGCGGUGGAAUGCGCAGAUAUCAGGAGGAACACCGAUGGCGAAGGCAGGUCUCUGGGCCGCAACUGACGCUGAGGAGCGAAAGCAUGGGGAGCGAACAGGAUUAGAUACCCCAGUAGUCCCUGUCUCUUAUAC